RNAcentral lists this ribosomal RNA (428 nucleotides) under Bacteroidota bacterium. RNAcentral describes it as "Bacteroidetes bacterium partial 16S ribosomal RNA". It matches the Rfam family "Bacterial small subunit ribosomal RNA", at positions 355 to 776 of the family's 1533-position model. Lineage: Bacteria; Pseudomonadati; Bacteroidota. The record is from RNAcentral.
UAGGGAAUCUUCCGCAAUGGACGCAAGUCUGACGGAGCAACGCCGCGUGAGUGAAGAAGGAUUUCGGUUCGUAAAACUCUGUUGUUAGAGAAGAACAGCGCAUAGAGUAACUGUUAUGCGUGUGACGGUAUCUAACCAGAAAGCCACGGCUAACUACGUGCCAGCAGCCGCGGUAAUACGUAGGUCCCGAGCGUUGUCCGGAUUUAUUGGGCGUAAAGCGAGCGCAGGCGGUUAGAUAAGUCUGAAGUUAAAGGCAGUGGCUCAACCAUUGUAGGCUUUGGAAACUGUUUAACUUGAGUGCAGAAGGGGAGAGUGGAAUUCCAUGUGUAACGGUGAAAUGCGUAGAUAUAUGGAGGAACACCGGUGGCGAAAGCGGCUCUCUGGUCUGUAACUGACGCUGAGGCUCGAAAGCGUGGGGAGCGAACAGG